RNAcentral lists this ribosomal RNA (494 nucleotides) under uncultured bacterium. RNAcentral describes it as "partial 16S ribosomal RNA". It matches the Rfam family "Bacterial small subunit ribosomal RNA", at positions 28 to 507 of the family's 1533-position model. The record is from RNAcentral.
GACGAACGCUGGCGGCGUGCCUAAUACAUGCAAGUCGAGCGGACUUAAAAAGCUUGCUUUUUAAGUUAGCGGCGGACGGGUGAGUAACACGUGGGCAACCUGCCUGUAAGACUGGGAUAACUUCGGGAAACCGGAGCUAAUACCGGAUAAUCCUUUUCUACUCAUGUAGAAAAGCUGAAAGACGGUUUACGCUGUCACUUACAGAUGGGCCCGCGGCGCAUUAGCUAGUUGGUGAGGUAACGGCUCACCAAGGCGACGAUGCGUAGCCGACCUGAGAGGGUGAUCGGCCACACUGGGACUGAGACACGGCCCAGACUCCUACGGGAGGCAGCAGUAGGGAAUCUUCCGCAAUGGACGCAAGUCUGACGGAGCAACGCCGCGUGAGUGAUGAAGGUUUUCGGAUCGUAAAACUCUGUUGUUAGGGAAGAACAAGUACGAGAGUAACUGCUCGUACCUUGACGGUACCUAACCAGAAAGCCACGGCUAACUACGUG